This 563-nucleotide ribosomal RNA is filed under the name uncultured marine bacterium. RNAcentral describes it as "bacterial SSU rRNA". It matches the Rfam family "Bacterial small subunit ribosomal RNA", at positions 61 to 670 of the family's 1533-position model. The record is from RNAcentral.
GUCGAACGCAGUAGCAAUACUGAGUGGCAAACGGGUGAGUAUAAUGUGGGAAUCUGCCUUUUGGUUUGGAAUAACACGGGGAAACUUGUGCUAAUACCGAAUAAGCCCUUACGGGGAAAGUUUUAACGCCGAAAGAUGAGCCCGCACUUGAUUAGCUAGUUGGUAAGGUAAAAGCUUACCAAGGCAAUGAUCAAUAGCUGUUCUUAGAGGAAGACCAGCCACAUUGGGACUGAGACACGGCCCAGACUCCUACGGGAGGCAGCAGUGGGGAAUCUUGCACAAUGGGGGAAACCCUGAUGCAGCGAUGCCGCGUGAGUGAAGAAGGCCUUUGGGUUGUAAAACUCUUUCGUCGGGGAAGAAAAUGACUGUACCCGAAUAAGAAGGUCCGGCUAACUUCGUGCCAGCAGCCGCGGUAAUACGAAGGGACCUAGCGUAGUUCGGAAUUACUGGGCUUAAAGAGCUCGUAGGUGGUUAAAAAAGUUGAUGGUGAAAUCCCAAGGCUCAACCUUGGAACUGCCAUCAAAACUUUUUAGCUAGAGUGUGAUAGAGGUAAGUGGAAUUUC